AUGACGGGUGUGGUAUCUCAUGCUGUCCUGCUCGCCGGCGUCGUCCUCCUGGCGGCGCAGCUGUGCGGGUGCACGGCGUACGUCGGCCGUGGCGACGGGUUUAGCGUCGAGCUCAUCCACCGUGACCACUCCGUCAAGUCGCCGUUCCACGACCCAUCGCUCACCCCGCAUGACCGCAUGCUCGCGGCCGCGCGGCGUUCCACGGGGCGCGCCGCGGCACUCGCACGCUCGUACGCCGCCACCGCCGGCACUGGCUCUCCUGGCGGCGGCGUGGCUGAGGUCAUCUCCAUCCCGCCGUUCGACUUCCUCAUGUACAUCAACAUCGGGUUGCCGCCUACACGGAUGCUCGCCUUCGCCGACACCGGCAGCGAUCUCUUGUGGGUGAAAUGCAGCAGCGACGGCACCGCCGAUCAUCCCGAAGCCGCCCGGCGAGCGCCGCCCAGGGUGGUGUUCAACCCGUCCAAGUCGUCGACGUUCGGCCGCGUGGACUGCCAUUCCGGCACGUGCCACGCGUUCACCGGCACCGGCGUGUCCUGCGACGCAAAGUCCACUGCAAGUACGUCUACUCCUACUCCGACGGCUCGGAGACCAGCGGCGUCCUCUCCACGGAGACCUUGA
RNAcentral lists this ribosomal RNA (618 nucleotides) under Triticum aestivum (bread wheat). RNAcentral's name for it is "partial small subunit ribosomal RNA". The record is from RNAcentral. Lineage: Eukaryota; Viridiplantae; Streptophyta; Magnoliopsida; Poales; Poaceae.